UACGUAGGGUCCGAGCGUUGUCCGGAAUUACUGGGCGUAAAGAGCUCGUAGGUGGUUUGUCACGUUGUUCGUGAAAACCCACAGCUCAACUGUGGGCGUGCGAGCGAUACGGGCAGACUAGAGUACUGCAGGGGAGACUGGAAUUCCUGGUGUAGCGGUGGAAUGCGCAGAUAUCAGGAGGGACACCGGUGGCGAAGGCGGGUCUCUGGGCAGUAACUGACGCUGAGGAGCGAAAGCGGGGGGAGCGAACAGG
Molecule: ribosomal RNA, 253 nt
Filed under: uncultured bacterium
Lineage: Bacteria
Description: partial 16S ribosomal RNA
Rfam family: Bacterial small subunit ribosomal RNA
Source: RNAcentral